AAACCAUGAUUCGGGAUCUUCUGCAAAUAUUCCUUGAAUAUCUCUCAAGCUUCAUAUAGUUGUUCCCCCGGUCGCUGCUUAAACUCAUAAAUCUUGUCAUGAAUUU
Small nucleolar RNA from Lycium barbarum (goji berry), 106 nucleotides. The record is from RefSeq and is a predicted model, not a curated record. Lineage: Eukaryota; Viridiplantae; Streptophyta; Magnoliopsida; Solanales; Solanaceae.